AUUGAACGCUGGCGGCAUGCCUUACACAUGCAAGUCGAACGGCAGCGCGGACUUCGGUCUGGCGGCGAGUGGCGAACGGGUGAGUAAUAUAUCGGAACGUACCCAGGAGUGGGGGAUAACGUAGCGAAAGUUACGCUAAUACCGCAUACGUCCUAAGGGAGAAAGCAGGGGAUCGCAAGACCUUGUGCUCAUGGAGCGGCCGAUAUCUGAUUAGCUAGUUGGUGGGGUAAAAGCCUACCAAGGCAACGAUCAGUAGCUGGUCUGAGAGGACGACCAGCCACACUGGAACUGAGACACGGUCCAGACUCCUACGGGAGGCAGCAGUGGGGAAUUUUGGACAAUGGGGGGCAACCCUGGUCCAGCAAUGCCGCGUGAGUGAAGAAGGCCCUCGGGUUGUAAAGCUCUUUUGUCAGGGAAGAAAAGGUUGUGGCUAAUACCCACGACUCAUGACGGUACCUGAAGAAUAAGCACCGGCUAACUACGUGCCAGCAG
Molecule: ribosomal RNA, 492 nt
Filed under: uncultured bacterium
Lineage: Bacteria
Description: bacterial SSU rRNA
Rfam family: Bacterial small subunit ribosomal RNA
Source: RNAcentral